GCGGGGCCUGCCUUGCUCAGGAAUGAGGAGGGUUGCUCGGGGGAGAACGUACUUGAGCGUGAGAGGUGAAAUUCUUAGACCGCUCAAAGACGAACUACAGCGAAGGCAUUCUCCAAGGAUACCUUCCUCAAUCAAGAACCAAAGUGUGGGGAUCGAAGAUGAUUAGAGACCAUUGUAGUCCACACCACAAACGGUGACCCCCAUGAAUUGGGGAGUUUUUGUGGCGGUGCCACCCGGCUCGUCCGGGGCAGGCACUCCGCAAUAAAGUAUUCAACCUACGUGCACGUUCCGUCCCGCCACGAGGUUACACUCGCGGCCUUGACGGGAACAUCCUCAGCACGUUCUCUUACUGUUUCACGCGAAAGCUUUGAGGUUACAGUCUCAGGGGGGAGUACGUUCGCAAGAGUGAAACUUAAAAGAAAUUGACGGAAUGGCACCACAAGAUGUGGAGCGUGCGGUUUAAUUUGACUCAACACGGGG
RNAcentral lists this ribosomal RNA (480 nucleotides) under uncultured eukaryote. Its description in RNAcentral is "bacterial SSU rRNA". It matches the Rfam family "Eukaryotic small subunit ribosomal RNA", at positions 843 to 1210 of the family's 1831-position model. The record is from RNAcentral.